GNNANUUAUUCGGNNUUACUGGGCGUAAAGCGUGCGUAGGCGGCUGAUUAAGUCGGAUGUGAAAUCCCUGAGCUUAACUUAGGAAUUGCAUUCGAUACUGGUCAGCUAGAGUAUGGGAGAGGAUGGUAGAAUUCCAGGUGUAGCGGUGAAAUGCGUAGAGAUCUGGAGGAAUACCGAUGGCGAAGGCAGCCAUCUGGCCUAAUACUGACGCUGAGGUACGAAAGCAUGGGGAGCAAACAGGAUUAGAUACCCUGGUAGUCCAUGCCGUAAACGAUGUCUACUAGCCGUUGGGGCCUUUGAGGCUUUAGUGGCGCAGCUAACGCGAUAAGUAGACCGCCUGGGGAGUACGGUCGCAAGACUAAAACUCAA
Molecule: ribosomal RNA, 369 nt
Filed under: Acinetobacter sp. SMT-4
Lineage: Bacteria; Pseudomonadati; Pseudomonadota; Gammaproteobacteria; Moraxellales; Moraxellaceae
Description: bacterial SSU rRNA
Rfam family: Bacterial small subunit ribosomal RNA
Source: RNAcentral